AUUGAACGCUGGCGGCAUGCCUUACACAUGCAAGUCGAACGGUAGCGCGGGGUAACCUGGCGACGAGUGGCGAACGGGUGAGUAAUGCAUCGGAACGUGCCCUGGAAUGGGGGAUAACGUAGCGAAAGUUACGCUAAUACCGCAUAUUCUGUGAGCAGGAAAGCAGGGGAUCGCAAGACCUUGCGUUCUGGGAGCGGCCGAUGUCGGAUUAGCUAGUUGGUGGGGUAAUGGCCUACCAAGGCGACGAUCCGUAGCGGGUCUGAGAGGAUGAUCCGCCACACUGGGACUGAGACACGGCCCAGACUCCUACGGGAGGCUGCCUGAGACCGCCAAGGCACACAGGGGAUAGG
This 350-nucleotide ribosomal RNA is filed under the name uncultured Pseudomonadota bacterium. RNAcentral's name for it is "bacterial SSU rRNA". It matches the Rfam family "Bacterial small subunit ribosomal RNA", at positions 30 to 389 of the family's 1533-position model. The record is from RNAcentral. Lineage: Bacteria; Pseudomonadati; Pseudomonadota.